This 954-nucleotide ribosomal RNA is filed under the name Latilactobacillus sakei. Its description in RNAcentral is "bacterial SSU rRNA". It matches the Rfam family "Bacterial small subunit ribosomal RNA", at positions 43 to 957 of the family's 1533-position model. The record is from RNAcentral. Lineage: Bacteria; Bacillati; Bacillota; Bacilli; Lactobacillales; Lactobacillaceae.
CGGUGCUAUACAUGCAGUCGAACGCACUCUCGUUUAGAUUGAAGGAGCUUGCUCCUGAUUGAUAAACAUUUGAGUGAGUGGCGGACGGGUGAGUAACACGUGGGUAACCUGCCCUAAAGUGGGGGAUAACAUUUGGAAACAGAUGCUAAUACCGCAUAAAACCUAACACCGCAUGGUGUAGGGUUGAAAGAUGGUUUCGGCUAUCACUUUAGGAUGGACCCGCGGUGCAUUAGUUAGUUGGUGAGGUAAAGGCUCACCAAGACCGUGAUGCAUAGCCGACCUGAGAGGGUAAUCGGCCACACUGGGACUGAGACACGGCCCAGACUCCUACGGGAGGCAGCAGUAGGGAAUCUUCCACAAUGGACGAAAGUCUGAUGGAGCAACGCCGCGUGAGUGAAGAAGGUUUUCGGAUCGUAAAACUCUGUUGUUGGAGAAGAAUGUAUCUGAUAGUAACUGAUCAGGUAGUGACGGUAUCCAACCAGAAAGCCACGGCUAACUACGUGCCAGCAGCCGCGGUAAUACGUAGGUGGCAAGCGUUGUCCGGAUUUAUUGGGCGUAAAGCGAGCGCAGGCGGUUUCUUAAGUCUGAUGUGAAAGCCUUCGGCUCAACCGAAGAAGUGCAUCGGAAACUGGGAAACUUGAGUGCAGAAGAGGACAGUGGAACUCCAUGUGUAGCGGUGAAAUGCGUAGAUAUAUGGAAGAACACCAGUGGCGAAGGCGGCUGUCUGGUCUGUAACUGACGCUGAGGCUCGAAAGCAUGGGUAGCAAACAGGAUUAGAUACCCUGGUAGUCCAUGCCGUAAACGAUGAGUGCUAGGUGUUGGAGGGUUUCCGCCCUUCAGUGCCGCAGCUAACGCAUUAAGCACUCCGCCUGGGGAGUACGACCGCAAGGUUGAAACUCAAAGGAAUUGACGGGGGCCCGCACAAGCGGUGGAGCAUGUGGUUUAAUUCGAAGC